Molecule: ribosomal RNA, 657 nt
Filed under: uncultured bacterium
Lineage: Bacteria
Description: bacterial SSU rRNA
Rfam family: Bacterial small subunit ribosomal RNA
Source: RNAcentral
AGGAGGGGCCCGCGUCGGAUUAGGUAGUUGGUGGGGUAACGGCCUACCAAGCCUGUGAUCCGUAGCUGGUCUGAGAGGAUGAUCAGCCACACUGGGACUGAGACACGGCCCAGACUCCUACGGGAGGCAGCAGUGGGGAAUAUUGGACAAUGGGCGCAAGCCUGAUCCAGCAAUGCCGCGUGAGUGAUGAAGGCCUUCGGGUUGUAAAGCUCUUUCGCACGCGAGGAUGAUGACGGUAGCGUGAGAAGAAGCCCCGGCUAACUUCGUGCCAGCAGCCGCGGUAAUACGAAGGGGGCGAGCGUUGUUCGGAUUUACUGGGCGUAAAGGGCGCGUAGGCGGUGCUCCAAGUCAGGCGUGAAAGCCCCGGGCUCAACCUGGGAAUUGCGCUUGGGACUGGAGGACUGGAGUUCGGGAGAGGAGCGUGGAAUUCCCAGUGUAGAGGUGAAAUUCGUAGAUAUUGGGAAGAACACCGGUGGCGAAGGCGGCGCUCUGGACCGAUACUGACGCUGAGGCGCGAAAGCGUGGGGAGCAAGCAGGAUUAGAUACCCUGGUAGUCCACGCUGUAAACGAUGUGUGCUAGACGUUGGGGGGCCUAGCUCCCCGGUGUCGCCGCUAACGCUUUAAGCACACCGCCUGGGGAGUACGGCCGCAAGGUUA